This 497-nucleotide ribosomal RNA is filed under the name uncultured bacterium. RNAcentral describes it as "partial 16S ribosomal RNA". It matches the Rfam family "Bacterial small subunit ribosomal RNA", at positions 28 to 507 of the family's 1533-position model. The record is from RNAcentral.
GACGAACGCUGGCGGCGUGCCUAAUACAUGCAAGUUGAGUGCUGAAGGUUGGUACUUGUACCAACUGGAUGAGCAGCGAACGGGUGAGUAACGCGUGGGGAAUCUGCCUUUGAGCGGGGGACAACAUUUGGAAACGAAUGCUAAUACCGCAUAAAAACUUUAAACACAAGUUUUAAGUUUGAAAGAUGCAAUUGCAUCACUCAAAGAUGAUCCCGCGUUGUAUUAGCUAGUUGGUGAGGUAAAGGCUCACCAAGGCGAUGAUACAUAGCCGACCUGAGAGGGUGAUCGGCCACAUUGGGACUGAGACACGGCCCAAACUCCUACGGGAGGCAGCAGUAGGGAAUCUUCGGCAAUGGACGAAAGUCUGGCCGAGCAACGCCGCGUGAGUGAAGAAGGUUUUCGGAUCGUAAAACUCUGUUGGUAGAGAAGAACGUUGGUGAGAGUGGAAAGCUCAUCAAGUGACGGUAACUACCCAGAAAGGGACGGCUAACUACGUG